RNAcentral lists this ribosomal RNA (371 nucleotides) under uncultured bacterium. RNAcentral describes it as "bacterial SSU rRNA". It matches the Rfam family "Bacterial small subunit ribosomal RNA", at positions 527 to 896 of the family's 1533-position model. The record is from RNAcentral.
GUAGGGGGCAAGCGUUGUCCGGAUUUAUUGGGCGUAAAGCGCGUGUAGGUGGCCAAGUAGGUCAGCUGUGAAAACUUGAGGCUCAACCUCAAGCUGUCGGUUGAAACCACUUGGCUAGAGUCCGGAAGAGGAGAGUGGAAUUCCUGGUGUAGCGGUGAAAUGCGCAGAUAUCGGGAGGAACACCUGUGGCGAAGGCGACCCCCUGGUUGGAUACUGACGCUGAGACGCGAAAGCGUGGGGAGCAAACAGGAUUAGAUACCCUGGUAGUCCACGCUGUAAACGAUGGGCACUAGGUGUCCGAGGUAUUGACCCCUUGGGUGCCGCAGCUAACGCAUUAAGUGCCCCGCCUGGGGAGUACGGUCGCAAGAUUA